GUGUGGCUAGCACAGGCUAUUCUAUGGCCUUGAACUGCCUCCAGAAACUGCAGACGGGAGGGGAGUACGCUGCCCACCCGCAACAGGACUGUGGGAGAUGCUGCUAGCAGAAAGAAAAUUACUGAGUCAGGAAAUUCCCACUCCUUUACCACCUCUUUUAUCUAUCUGAGAUCUUGAACACAGCAAUCUAGAGGGAUGGCAGCUCUGUUCCAGCCACUCUGAGCACACUCCAGGGAUGAAGAGCAUGGGCACCCGUAGAAGCAACCCCAGAGCAGGAGGAGGAAGCAGGAUCAGGUAACUUGGCAGCAAUCCAGGCCACCGAUAGAAAAAGAACCUCUUACCUGGUGUGCCCACCACACCAUGAUGUAGGAGAAUGCUGCAAUCCAGACGAUGGCUCCUAGAAAUGUGAU
Molecule: non-coding RNA, 410 nt
Organism: Chelonoidis abingdonii (Abingdon island giant tortoise)
Lineage: Eukaryota; Metazoa; Chordata; Testudines; Testudinidae
Source: RefSeq, a predicted model, not a curated record